UACGGGGGGGGCAAGCGUUGUUCGGAAUUACUGGGCGUAAAGGGCUCGUAGGCGGCCAACUAAGUCAGACGUGAAAUCCCCAGGCUCAACCUGGGAACUGCGUCUGAUACUGGAUGGCUUGAAUUCGGGAGAGGGAUGCAGAAUUCCAGGUGUAGCGGUGAAAUGCGCAGAUAUCAGGAGGAACACCGGUGGCGAAGGCGGGUCUCUGGGCCGAUACUGACGCUGAGGAGCGAAAGCGUGGGGAGCAAACAGG
Molecule: ribosomal RNA, 253 nt
Filed under: uncultured bacterium
Lineage: Bacteria
Description: partial 16S ribosomal RNA
Rfam family: Bacterial small subunit ribosomal RNA
Source: RNAcentral